CUUACUUUUAAUAAAAAACUUGUUAUAAUGUUCUAGAUAUCCAUGAAAUUAGAAAAACCAUUUUAUAAAGGUGUAUGGUCGAAAGAUUCUUUUAUAAUAAACUAAAGUGAAAAAGUACCGUGAGGGAAUGUACGAAAUUUUAAAAAAGUAAGAGUAAAUAUCUGUACCUUUUGUAUGAUGGCUUAUCUAGAGUAAAGCAUGAAUUUGCUUUCCCCGAAAUGAGUUGAGCUACUAAGGUUCUAUGUCAAUGUAGAAAGAUUGUAUAAAGAGGGCUUAGUAGAGGUGAUAUGCCUACCGUAACUUAUGAUAGCUGGUUAGCUAGUAAAGAUAUGAAAGUGUCUGUUUUUAAAAAUUUUUGUUUCUUUUAAGGUUACAAAUAGAUAAAAAACUAAGAUAAUGAAGGAUAAGCUUCUUUAUAAUGUAAAAAUAAAAGUUAAAGAAAAAUUAAAUGUGGGCUUAAGAUUAGCCAUUAGUUAAGUAUCUUGUUAUAAAUUAUAAUUUUCAAAUCUUUAAAUUAAUAAGUUUUAUUUUACAUUUAUUUACUAGCGAUUUUUAGGAAACUUCAAACUAAAAAAAUUUCUGGUAAGAUGAGUAUUUAUAAAAAAAAAAUCUUAUGAUAAAGUAAAAAUAUUAAGAAAAAAAAUUUUUUUUUGUAAAAACAGGCUGAAGGAACUCGGCAAAAAUUUGUUUCGCCAGUUUAUCAAAAACAUGGCUCUUUGUAAAAAAAAGAUAAAGAGUCGGACCUGCCCAGUGAUAAAAUUUAACGGCCGCGGUACCCUGACCGUGCAAAGGUAGCAUAAUCAUUUGCCUUUUAAUUGAAGGCUAGUAUGAAGGGUUUGACGAAAACAAAGCUGUCUCCUGCCUGCUAUUUAAAAAUUAAUUUUGAUGUGAAGAAGCAUUAAUCAACCUAAAAGACAAGAAGACCCUAUUGAGCUUUAAUGGACUAGUAAAAUAAAAAUAUGAAUCAAAAAAUUAUUUUUUCUUUGUCUAUUUUAGUUGGGGCGACUAAGGAACAUAAGAGCUUCCUUUUUUAACAAAGACAUAUUUGUUGUGAUCCAAGCAUAUUGAUUAAAAAAAUUAGUUACCAUAGGGAUAACAGCGUAAUCCUUUUUGAGAGUUCCUAUCGAAAAAAGGGCUUGCGACCUCGAUGUUGGAUUAAGAUUUCCAAUUGGUGUAGAAGCUUUUUUGGUUGGUCUGUUCGACCAUUAAAAUCUUACAUGAUCUGAGUUCAGACCGGCGUAAGCCAGGUCGGCUUCUAUCUUUAGAGAAAAGUUUUUUAGACUAGUACGAAAGGACCGUUUUAAAAUAAAGUAUUUAAUAACUAGAUAAAG
This 1331-nucleotide ribosomal RNA is filed under the name Lamellomphalus manusensis. RNAcentral's name for it is "16S ribosomal RNA". It matches the Rfam family "Bacterial large subunit ribosomal RNA". Lineage: Eukaryota; Metazoa; Mollusca; Gastropoda; Neomphalida; Neomphalidae. The record is from RNAcentral.